AUGAACAGAGUCAACAGGAGAGGACACAACGAGCAGCUUUUCGUUGGUCAUCUGAAGCUGAAGGAUUUGAAGGAGCAAGACGGUUUGAACAACCGGUACCUCUUCAAAGACCACAUCCCAGCGUACCCCCGACCAGAGUUUCAUGUGUCUCAUCUGAAACACGACACUGACAGAGUGGGAUUACGUGGGAUCAGGAGGGACGGUGGCUUCAGGAACCCGGCUGAUGGCUCUCUGCUGUGGUGGAGUCUGGUUGUGGGAUCUGAUGAGAUAAGGUCAGCUGAGAGGAGGCUCCUGGAGACCACCUACCCAGACCGGACAGAGGAGCAGGCCCAGAAGCAGCAGAGCUUCCUGGAGAAGUUUGCAACCUCCCCAGUCUUCAUGGAGUCCUCCAGGCUGGGCUCGUACCGCUUCACCUUCCCCCUGGAGGAGGUUCUGAAGGCCUACAGAGACCAGUUUUGUUCCGGUGCUCAGCCCGUCAUGAGGGUGUUCAGGACCGUCCUGUACAAACAGGAAGUGAUGUAUGCGGUGCUGGUCCACAGCCCGGCCAAUCAGCAGCUGUUCUCAGACCUUCCUCUGCUGACUGACGACCCAAACUCUGUGUGCACUUACAGAGACGGACACUUCAUCUGGAGGUCUGAGGCCAUGUGUGAGACACACAGGUAUCAGUUGGUCUGCAGAGACGAUGUGAAGCUGAUGGACGUGGAGGACGUGGAGUCUCUGUUCUAUGUUUGGGAUCACGUGGGCGUCGCCCUGCACGUGGACGAACACGUUCUGCAGUUUGAUGGCGACCGACUGAGAGAGACGCUCUCGUUCUGCGACAGAGCGACGCCGGCUAUCAUCCCUCCCAACAGGUUCGAUGACUUCCUGCAAGCGAAACAUCUGGUUGAAGUGAAACUGUGGCCCGACUGUCGCUGCCCGCUGGAGAGAGAACCAACUGGACCUCCUCCGAGCUCUUUUAUGGAACAAUAA
This 969-nucleotide long non-coding RNA is filed under the name Dicentrarchus labrax (European seabass). RNAcentral describes it as "lncRNA (ENSDLAG00005033710.1)". The record is from RNAcentral. Lineage: Eukaryota; Metazoa; Chordata; Actinopteri; Moronidae.